GACGAACGCUGGCGGCGUGCUUAACACAUGCAAGUCGAACGGUGAAGCGCCUUCCUUUUUGGUGGGUGUGGAUGAGUGGCGAACGGGUGAGUAACACGUGAGUAACCUGCCCCCUUCUUCUGGAUAACCGCAUGAAAGUGUGGCUAAUACGGGAUAUUCUGGGUCUGUCGCAUGAUGGGUCUGGGAAAGAUAUUGUUUCGGUGGGGGAUGGGCUCGCGGCCUAUCAGCUUGUUGGUGGGGUGAUGGCCUACCAUGGCGGUGACGGGUAGCCGGCCUGAGAGGGUGGACGGUCACACUGGGAGUGGGACACGGCCCAGACUCCUACGGGAGGCAGCAGUGGGGAAUAUUGCACAAUGGGCGCAAGCCUGAUGCAGCGACGCCGCGUGAGGGAUGGAGGCCUUCGGGUUGUGAACCUCUUUCGCCAGUGAAGCAGGCCUGCCUCGUUUGUGGGUGGGUUGACGGUAGCUGGAUAAGAAGCGCCGGCUAACUACGUG
Molecule: ribosomal RNA, 494 nt
Filed under: uncultured bacterium
Lineage: Bacteria
Description: partial 16S ribosomal RNA
Rfam family: Bacterial small subunit ribosomal RNA
Source: RNAcentral